This 222-nucleotide ribosomal RNA is filed under the name uncultured bacterium. RNAcentral describes it as "partial 16S ribosomal RNA". It matches the Rfam family "Bacterial small subunit ribosomal RNA", at positions 15 to 219 of the family's 1533-position model. The record is from RNAcentral.
GAUCAUGGCUCAGGAUGAACGCUGGCGGCGUGCUUAACACAUGCAAGUCGAACGAAGCACUUAAGAUUGACUCUUCGGAUGACGUCUUUUGUGACUUAGUGGCGGACGGGUGAGUAACGCGUGGGUAACCUGCCUCACACAGGGGGAUAACAGUUAGAAAUGACUGCUAAUACCGCAUAACCCGAUAGGAUCGCAUGAUCCAGACGGAAAAGAUUUAUCAGU